This 537-nucleotide ribosomal RNA is filed under the name uncultured Actinomycetes bacterium. Its description in RNAcentral is "bacterial SSU rRNA". It matches the Rfam family "Bacterial small subunit ribosomal RNA", at positions 373 to 896 of the family's 1533-position model. The record is from RNAcentral. Lineage: Bacteria; Bacillati; Actinomycetota; Actinomycetes.
GGGCGAAAGCCUGACACAGCGACGCCGCGUGAGGGAAGAAGGCCUUCGGAUUGUAAACCUCUUUCAGGAGGGACGAAGCUACUCGGGUUAAUAGCCCAGAGGGUGACGGUACCUCCAGAAGAGGCCCCGGCUAACUACGUGCCAGCAGCCGCGGUAAUACGGUAGGGGGCAAGCGUUGUCCGGAUUUAGUUGGGCGUAAAGAGCGUGUAGGCGGCCAGGUAGGUCAGCUGUAGAAAACUCGAGGCUCAACCUCGAGACGUCGGUUGAAACCAUCUGGCUAGAGUCCGGAAGAGGAGAGUGGAAUUCCCGGUGUAGCGGUGAAAUGCGCAGAUAUCGGGAAGAACACCCGUGGCGAAGGCGGCUCUCUGGGACGGUACUGACGCUGAGACGCGAAAGCGGUGGGGAGCGAACAGGAUUAGAUACCCUGGUAGUCCACGCCGUAAACGAGUGGGUGCUAGGUGGUGGGGGGUGUCGACUCCCCCCGUGCCGAAGCUAACGCAUUAAGCACCCCGCCUGGGGAGUACGGCCGCAAGGCUA